Molecule: long non-coding RNA, 2545 nt
Organism: Triticum aestivum (bread wheat)
Lineage: Eukaryota; Viridiplantae; Streptophyta; Magnoliopsida; Poales; Poaceae
Exons: 2
Source: RefSeq, a predicted model, not a curated record
CCUCGCCUCCCGAUCCCAGCCGCCAUGAGGCGAUCCCGGCGACGCUCGAUCCGGUGCUGCGAGCUAGGUUCGAGCAGCCACCUCUCCGGCCUCCCCGCCGGCGGCGCGCCGACGCGCCGGUCACGCCUCUUCUCCUCCCCUUCCCUCCUCUGCUCUUGCCCCCUUCUCCUCCACCCAAUUUUUUUCAGUCCGUCUCAAUUCGCUCGAUCCACCCCUCCUGAGCGGCGGACAGUGGAGAUGAUGAACAGGCCGCGGACGCCAGUCGAAGGCCUUGAGAAGGACUGCGCGGUUGGACUCGAGAGCAGCUGCACUAGAGGACACCAUGGUCUUGGCAUUGCUGCCCCGCACGAGAAGAGGAGGGUUCCCUCCGCCGCCGCCGAGCCCGCAUCCGUGCUCUCCGCGGUGCCCGUCCUCGCUCCGCCGUUGCCAAAUCGUACGAGAUCGGCAGGAUCCGCUGCAUCUUGCGCGCCGCCGCCGGUGCUUCACCUGUUGCCGGCCUCCUUCCAGUUCCCUUCGUCGCCGAGGACGAGCACGCCAAGUUCCCAUGCCUUUUCCAGCGGUCAUUAUGACGAGUUGUUCCCCAACUGAAGGAACAGAUCAAGGCCAUGGGAUCCAGCCGGUGAGAGUCCCUUGACCGCAUCACCUUGCUGAACACAUGGUGGGGGGCGGCAUGGACGAGCUGCUCGUCGGCAUCCAUCCCCUGCACCCAGCCCCCGCCAACCAUGGCCGCCCAUCACCCUCGACGGCGCGCGCCUCCAGCAUCCCGAGAAUCAGCGCCCACCUCCCUGGGAGAGCUCCUCCUAUCUCCAGAGGAGGCGCAUGAGCCGAGCCCAGCCAUCACGCGCCCGUGGCCAACAACAACCUCCAGGUCGCAUCAGCGUUCGGUGGCAUGGGCAUGCUCUCGACUGAUUGAUUUUUGUAUGGAAGAUUUUUCUGAGUGGGGGUCGGGCAACGCCCAUGGGUGCUGUGUAGGAGUACAUGUUCAAGACAAUCAACAGCUUCUUUGAUGACUUCCUCACCUAAUGGAGAGAUACAAUUUUGGGACAGUGAAUAGAUGUCUAAUAGGGGCACCGCCGCAUGAGGAAUGACACUUUCUGGCUAGCAGUGGCGACGACCACCACUGGACACGAGGGAUCAACAUGCUGACUGAACGAGCUCGUCCUCGGAGUUAACUUCCACUACUUUCACUGAUUUGGACUCACUUCUCUUCAGUCCAAAUAUUUGGACUCUCAGUUAACUUCCUGCUUUUCAAAAGUUAAUUUAGUCCCACCAUUUGAAAUUCUUCAGCAACAGUUAGUCGUCGGCCAUGAGGCGGUUAGAGAACAUGGUGACUGUAGCAUAAGCUACACAGCCGGUUUUUGCUCCGAUCACCUGCCUUGCUACUUGUGCGUGAUUAUGAUCUGAUUUGUAUGCAACUCUGACAUGUGAAAAUAAUGAAGCUGCCAGCUGGUUCUUUGCAUGUUCCAGAGUGUGUUCGUUUAAUUUUGAUAGAAAUUUGGUUCUCAGUUCUUGGAUGCAUAGCUCAUCUACUGUAGCAGUUAUCUUUUGUUAACUGCAACAGUUAACUUCAUUGUUACUGUAGUGGGUUCCUAUUAUAAAUUGAGAAAAAAAUAACUGAUGCAGUUAGCUGUGAGAUGCAGUUCUCUUUGGAAAUUGUUGGUCGCGUUAGCUUUAGGAAAAACCAGAAAGUUUAAUUUGCAUUUUACAAAACAAUUCAUCUUUUAUGGUCCAGUUAGCUUUAGAAAAAACUAAGGGACGUUCUGCAGUUUGUUUUUCUUUUGAUGAGAAAAUGUAGUAGUUAGAUGAGCACUCCCGCCAUGGUUGUAGGAGGAGAGAAAUGUAGUAGUUAGGAGUUUAUUUGUCUUUGUUGCUUCGGGCCACAAGAGAAUAACUGUGAAAAAUUGUUGUAGCAGUUAACAUGUAAAAAUGUCACAGUUAAUGUGUGAGAGAAAAAAGUUACUGUGUUACAGAAAAAGGAAAAUAUUUGUUGUACCAAAAGUUAACUAUUCAAUUUACCAGCAGUUUUUUUUUUGCAGGGGUAAUUUAGCAGCAAAAUUAGCAUCGUUUUCCUUCAGUCCACUUUUCGUGUGCGUUCAGUCAUGUAUUGCCGUCUCUAUUUGGCAUGAUUUGCAGCGAGUUUCUUUGGUGUCUAUUUUUAUUCCAGUGCCUUGUUCUUUCUGGCAAGACAGUGUUUGUGUUAAUGCCUAUGGUAGAUUAGCAUGUAUUAUGAUUAAGAACUACAAUUGAUCAGCAUAUUGAGUAAGCAAGAUGGUCGGCAAUCAAACUGAGUGCUAGCAUUAAGCUUGAAUCCUGGUCGUUCCUUCUCCCCUUCUCUGUUUUGCUAUAGUCUGAACAUUCUGAAUUUUGAAUACUUGCAGGUACCUUCUGAACUGAACUUUGAACACUUGCAUGUAGAUUCUGAACUGAAGUUUGAAGGCAUGCAGGCAAAUUUAUUUCAAGCAUCGGGUUUUCUUGGGACCCGACACCGAUGAGGUCGGAGACGAUGGUUCAUGGCGGAGGCCGUCGACAACGGCCAGGACACAAG